Ctenopharyngodon idella (grass carp) is the source of this 653-nucleotide long non-coding RNA. RefSeq lists it as uncharacterized. Lineage: Eukaryota; Metazoa; Chordata; Actinopteri; Cypriniformes; Xenocyprididae. The record is from RefSeq and is a predicted model, not a curated record. The transcript has 2 exons.
GCCAUCAUCAUCCCCAAGCCUCUGGUAUCCAGUAGAGAGCUGACGGUAUCAGCUUCGGCCUAAUACACUGUCAUGUGCGCGUAAACGCUCAGGAGGGAUGUUGCUCUUGGUUUUGGUCUCCAUGGAGCUAAACAACAUUGAACAACCCAGCACUUGUGUCCUUGGAGGGUUUUCUUGAAAAGAUGUGUUGUCAUGGUUGCAGUAUGUCGAUACCAGCACGCCGAUACAUAGAGCUGUAUCUGUGAGCAGAAUGGAGGGAAAAACAAGACUGUGGUGAGUCAUCACUGAUGAGAGUGGGGAAGACCUAGAAAUCUGGGCUGCAAUCCCCUUCCAGCUAUGAGAGAAAGAGAGAGAGAGAUGGCUGAUUGAGCUGUAUUUUGCAGAGACUGCAAAUUGUUUAGGAUUUGUGUUAAGGAAGGGUAAGACUUACACUUACAAAAAUCAAAAAGUACCAUGGACAGGUAUCAUGGUAAUACCAUGGCAUUCUUUGAAAUAUCUUUGGAUGAAUUACAAUUAGGAAAAAAAUGUACAGAUAAGUACCAUGAUAUUAUCACCAUGUUUUUUUAUGACAUAUACCAUGUCAAUACUGUGUUUUGUAUGUUUUUGUACAAUGUAACAUUUUCACUUUAAAAAAUAAAAAAUGCUUUUCAUGA